This 460-nucleotide ribosomal RNA is filed under the name uncultured bacterium. Its description in RNAcentral is "partial 16S ribosomal RNA". It matches the Rfam family "Bacterial small subunit ribosomal RNA", at positions 338 to 795 of the family's 1533-position model. The record is from RNAcentral.
CCUACGGGAGGCUGCAGUGAGGAAUAUUGGUCAAUGGGCGAGAGCCUGAACCAGCCAAGUCGCGUGAAGGAUGAAGGAUCUAUGGUUUGUAAACUUCUUUUAUAUGGGAAUAAAGUGAGGAACGUGUUCCUUUUUGUAUGUACCAUAUGAAUAAGCAUCGGCUAACUCCGUGCCAGCAGCCGCGGUAAUACGGAGGAUGCGAGCGUUAUCCGGAUUUAUUGGGUUUAAAGGGAGCGUAGGUGGAUUGUUAAGUCAGUUGUGAAAGUUUGCGGCUCAACCGUAAAAUUGCAGUUGAAACUGGCAGUCUUGAGUACAGUAGAGGUGGGCGGAAUUCGUGGUGUAGCGGUGAAAUGCUUAGAUAUCACGAAGAACUCCGAUUGCGAAGGCAGCUUACUGGACUGCAACUGACACUGAGGCUCGAAAGUGUGGGUAUCAAACAGGAUUAGAUACCCCAGUAGUC